This 636-nucleotide ribosomal RNA is filed under the name Triticum aestivum (bread wheat). RNAcentral's name for it is "partial small subunit ribosomal RNA". The record is from RNAcentral. Lineage: Eukaryota; Viridiplantae; Streptophyta; Magnoliopsida; Poales; Poaceae.
GACAAGAUCCACACCGCCAAUGGAGCAGGUAUGCACAUCUCUCAUAUUGGUCAAGCAUCACUUCUCACUAGACAUGCCAAUAGGAGUCUUCAACUUCGCAAUGUUCUUCGAGUUCCAUCUGUGACACGUAAUCUUCUUUCAGUUCCUAAACUCACUCGUGAUAAUAAUGUGCUUUGUGAAUUUCAUCCUUUUGAUCUUUUUAUUAAGGAUCGGGGCACGAGGGACAUUCUUCUUAGUGGGCGGCUCUGCCAAGGUCUCUAUCGUCUGGAGCAUCCUGGCGUCGCUCGCGUCUUCAGUGGAAUUCGGGUAUCUCCGUCACAGUGGCAUGCUCGUCUUGGUCACCCGGCCACACCUAUUGUCCGGCAUGUUUUGCGUCGUCAUGAGCUUCCUAGUGUGUCUAGUAAUAAAGAUGUAGCAGUGUGUGAUGCUUGUCAGCAGGGGAAGAGUCAUCAACUUUCCUUUUCGGAGUCCAGUCGUGAGGUGAAACAUCCUUUAGAACUUGUGUUUUCAGAUGUAUGGGGUCCUGCUCAGACUUCUGUUAGUGGUCAUAAUUACUAUAUCAGUUUUGUUGAUGCUUACAGCCGCUUUACCUGGUUUUAUCUUAUCAAAUGUAAAUCUGAUGUGUUUGACAUUUUU